RNAcentral lists this unclassified non-coding RNA (217 nucleotides) under Hevea brasiliensis (rubber tree). The record is from RNAcentral. Lineage: Eukaryota; Viridiplantae; Streptophyta; Magnoliopsida; Malpighiales; Euphorbiaceae.
ACCCCAAAUUUUUUGGAUAAAGGUCUAGUUGAGUUUAGUUGAGUGCAUUGAAUGUUUAUCUUCUCAGUAGUUGCUACUCAAAGGGCACAUCCAGCAGAUCAAUAAUAACUAGAAUGUCAUUCUUCUCAAUAAUAUUGUCCGAAAUGAUUACCACUUAUGGAACUAAAAAUGCAAUUUACAAUGCAAGAACUACCUUUCCCAGCUUUUGAUAUCACAG